Molecule: ribosomal RNA, 393 nt
Filed under: uncultured bacterium
Lineage: Bacteria
Description: partial 16S ribosomal RNA
Rfam family: Bacterial small subunit ribosomal RNA
Source: RNAcentral
AUACGGAGGAUCCGAGCGUUAUCCGGAUUUAUUGGGUUUAAAGGGUGCGCAGGCGGGAGAUUAAGUCGGCGGUGAAAUUUUUCAGCUCAACUGUAAAAGUGCCUUCGGAACUGGUUUUCUUGAGUAUUGGUGAAGGAGGCGGAAUUUGUGGGGUAGGGGUGGAAUGCAUAGAUAUCACGAGGAACUCCGAUUGCGCAGGCAGCUUACUAAGCCAUAACUGACGCUCAUGCACGAAGGCGUGGGGAUCAAACAGGAUUAGAUACCCUGGUAGUCCACGCAGUAAACGAUGAUUACUCGCUGUUUGCGAUACAAUGUAAGCGGCUAAGCGAAAGCAUUAAGUAAUCCACCUGGGGAGUACGUUCGCAAGAAUGAAACUCAAAUGAAUUGACGGGG